GAUGAACGCUGGCGGCGUGCCUAAUACAUGCAAGUCGAGCGAACAGACGAGGAGCUUGCUCCUCUGACGUUAGCGGCGGACGGGUGAGUAACACGUGGAUAACCUACCUAUAAGACUGGGAUAACUUCGGGAAACCGGAGCUAAUACCGGAUAAUAUAUUGAACCGCAUUGUUCAAUAGUGAAAGACGGUUUUGCUGUCACUUAUAGAUUGAUCCGCGCCGCAUUAGCUAGUUGGUAAGGUAACGGCUUACCAAGGCAACGAUGCGUAGACGACCUGAGAGGGUGAUCGGCCACACUGGAACUGAGACACAGUCCAGACUCCUACGGGAGGCAGCAGUAGGGAAUCUUCCGCGAUGGACGAAAGCCUGACGGAGCAAAGCCGCCGGAAGGAUGAAGGUCCUCGGAUCGUAAAACUCUGUUAUUAGGAAAGAACAAAUGUGUAAGUAACUAUGAACGUAUUGACGGUACCUAAUCAGAAAGCCACGGCUAACUACGUG
Molecule: ribosomal RNA, 497 nt
Filed under: uncultured bacterium
Lineage: Bacteria
Description: partial 16S ribosomal RNA
Rfam family: Bacterial small subunit ribosomal RNA
Source: RNAcentral